GCAUUACUGAGGAGUCCCACAAUAGGACGAAACGGCCGUUCAGUGC
Schistosoma haematobium is the source of this 46-nucleotide non-coding RNA. NCBI's taxonomy places the organism in Eukaryota, Metazoa, Platyhelminthes, Trematoda, Strigeidida, Schistosomatidae. The record is from Rfam.